AAAUUGAAGAGUUUGAUCAUGGCUCAGAUUGAACGCUGGCGGCAGGCCUAACACAUGCAAGUCGAACGGUAACAGGAAGCAGCUUGCUGCUUCGCUGACGAGUGGCGGACGGGUGAGUAAUGUCUGGGAAACUGCC
This 136-nucleotide ribosomal RNA is filed under the name Escherichia coli. RNAcentral describes it as "partial 16S ribosomal RNA". It matches the Rfam family "Bacterial small subunit ribosomal RNA", at positions 1 to 130 of the family's 1533-position model. The record is from RNAcentral. Lineage: Bacteria; Pseudomonadati; Pseudomonadota; Gammaproteobacteria; Enterobacterales; Enterobacteriaceae. RNAcentral also lists the same sequence under 37 other names.